Molecule: transfer RNA, 81 nt
Filed under: Chloroflexota bacterium
Lineage: Bacteria; Bacillati; Chloroflexota
Description: Chloroflexi bacterium (groundwater metagenome) tRNA-Leu
Rfam family: tRNA
About the family: Transfer RNA (tRNA) molecules are approximately 80 nucleotides in length. Their secondary structure includes four short double-helical elements and three loops (D, anti-codon, and T loops). Further hydrogen bonds mediate the characteristic L-shaped molecular structure. tRNAs have two regions of fundamental functional importance: the anti-codon, which is responsible for specific mRNA codon recognition, and the 3' end, to which the tRNAs corresponding amino acid is attached (by aminoacyl-tRNA synthetases). tRNAs cope with the degeneracy of the genetic code in two manners: having more than one tRNA (with a specific anti-codon) for a particular amino acid; and 'wobble' base-pairing, i.e. permitting non-standard base-pairing at the 3rd anti-codon position.
Source: RNAcentral
GCCGGAGUGGCGAAAUGGCAGACGCAAACGACUCAAACUCGUUCGGGGAAACCCAUGUGGGUUCGACUCCCACCUCCGGCA